UAACACCAUCUCUCCGAGUGAACUGCCAUAUUAGGCCUAAAGCGUGCGCAGCCGGACAGAGUAGUCUUUGGUGAAAUCUAAUCGCUUAACGGUUAGAAUUGCUGGAGAAACCACCUGUCUUGGAAUAGGAAGAGGUUGACGCUACUUAUGGGGUACUGGUGAAAAUGGUUUUAGAUGUAUUCUACAACCAUCACAUUGGGUACAUCCUAUAGGGAGCACCUGUGGCGAAGGCGGUCAACUGGUACUACUUCGACGGUCAGGCACGAAAGCUAGGGGAGCAAAACGGAUUAGAUACCCGUGUAGUCCUAUGCCGUAAACGAUGCUCGUUAAGUGUCCGAAAAUUUUGGAUUUUCGGGUGCUGUUGCGAAGGCUUUAAACGAGCCGCCUGGGGAGUACGUUCGCAAGGAUGAAACUUAAAGCAAUUGACGGGGCUCUACCGGAAUGCGUGAGACUUGCGGUUU
Molecule: ribosomal RNA, 461 nt
Filed under: uncultured archaeon
Lineage: Archaea
Description: bacterial SSU rRNA
Rfam family: Archaeal small subunit ribosomal RNA
Source: RNAcentral